GUCCCUACGGGUGGCAGCAGUGGGGAAUUUUGGACAAUGGGCGAAAGCCUGAUCCAGCCAUGCCGCGUGCGGGAAGAAGGCCUUCGGGUUGUAAACCGCUUUUGUCAGGGAAGAAAUCUUCUGAGCUAAUACCUCGGGAGGAUGACGGUACCUGAAGAAUAAGCACCGGCUAACUACGUGCCAGCAGCCGCGGUAAUACGUAGGGUGCAAGCGUUAAUCGGAAUUACUGGGCGUAAAGCGUGCGCAGGCGGGUGUGCAAGACAGGUGUGAAAUCCCCGGGCUUAACCUGGGAACUGCACUUGUGACUGCACGGCUUGAGUGCGGCAGAGGGGGAUGGAAUUCCGCGUGUAGCAGUGAAAUGCGUAGAUAUGCGGAGGAACACCGAUGGCGAAGGCAAUCCCCUGGGCCUGCACUGACGCUCAUGCACGAAAGCGUGGGGAGCAAACAGGAUUAGAUACCCUGGUAGUCGC
Molecule: ribosomal RNA, 470 nt
Filed under: uncultured Comamonadaceae bacterium
Lineage: Bacteria; Pseudomonadati; Pseudomonadota; Betaproteobacteria; Burkholderiales; Comamonadaceae
Description: bacterial SSU rRNA
Rfam family: Bacterial small subunit ribosomal RNA
Source: RNAcentral